GUUGACUUUUAAUCAAUUGGUCGCAGGUUCGAAUCCUGCACGACCCACCA
Molecule: transfer RNA, 50 nt
Filed under: Escherichia coli M605
Lineage: Bacteria; Pseudomonadati; Pseudomonadota; Gammaproteobacteria; Enterobacterales; Enterobacteriaceae
Description: partial tRNA-Ser
Rfam family: tRNA
About the family: Transfer RNA (tRNA) molecules are approximately 80 nucleotides in length. Their secondary structure includes four short double-helical elements and three loops (D, anti-codon, and T loops). Further hydrogen bonds mediate the characteristic L-shaped molecular structure. tRNAs have two regions of fundamental functional importance: the anti-codon, which is responsible for specific mRNA codon recognition, and the 3' end, to which the tRNAs corresponding amino acid is attached (by aminoacyl-tRNA synthetases). tRNAs cope with the degeneracy of the genetic code in two manners: having more than one tRNA (with a specific anti-codon) for a particular amino acid; and 'wobble' base-pairing, i.e. permitting non-standard base-pairing at the 3rd anti-codon position.
Source: RNAcentral